This 87-nucleotide transfer RNA is filed under the name Alphaproteobacteria bacterium MarineAlpha4_Bin1. RNAcentral describes it as "tRNA-Ser". Lineage: Bacteria; Pseudomonadati; Pseudomonadota; Alphaproteobacteria. The record is from RNAcentral. RNAcentral also lists the same sequence under 1 other name.
UGCCGACCGGGUUGCCGGAAUUCCGCCUGCCGUCAUUCGAGGUGGCGGAGCUUCCGCGCAUGAUCGGUUCGGCCCUGGUGCUGGCAA